GCCUACGGGGCGCAGCAGUGGGGAAUAUUGCACAAUGGGGGAAACCCUGAUGCAGCGACGCCGCGUGAGUGAAGAAGUAAUUCGUUAUGUAAAGCUCUAUCAGCAGGGAAGAAAAUGACGGUACCUGAGUAAGAAGCCCCGGCUAACUACGUGCCAGCAGCCGCGGUAAUACGUAGGGGGCAAGCGUUAUCCGGCUUUACUGGGUGUAAAGGGAGCGCAGGCGGCACGGCAAGCCUGAUGUGAAAGCCCGCGGCCCAACCGCGGGACUGCAUUGGGAACUACCGGGCUGCAGUGCCGGAGAGGUG
RNAcentral lists this ribosomal RNA (305 nucleotides) under uncultured bacterium. Its description in RNAcentral is "bacterial SSU rRNA". It matches the Rfam family "Bacterial small subunit ribosomal RNA", at positions 337 to 659 of the family's 1533-position model. The record is from RNAcentral.